AUGGAACUAAGCAGGAAGAGGCAUUGUUUGAGACAAGCAAAUCUCGUGUUUGAUAUUUCCACUCCUUGCUCCAUUCUUCAACUUACUAAUCUUCUCUUUGUGACCCAUGAAUCUCCCUCUCUUACCAGGUCCAACCCUGGUUGCAGGGACAGACCUGCAGGUGCUACAGACAGCCUGCAACAUCGUUACGAGACCUCUCCCUGCCUGGAUGAUGCGAAGCCUGAACCUGCGGGGUCAGGGCCUGGUGCUGGUGCUCACGGUGCUGCUGCUAGCGGAGGGUCUAGCUUGCAGUCUAAUGUCCCCUCUCCUCCCACUGAGAGAGCCCCUGCACACCUUGAGGACACUGAAUAUUCAUAUAAAAGGUCGGUCCUGAGCUAUGAGGAGGGAAGCAGCACGCAAGAGGGCAAAUACACGAGUCCCACGGUCCCAGCGUACAGCAAGCCUGACUGGAAUGAAAUGACGUAAGGAUCUGGGGUGCUAACCUCAUGUUUGCUAAUGUGUUCUUUCUCAUUGCUGAAAACUCGGAGGUCCUGAUUCUGCAGGAAAUAUCAAGCCCAAGAACAACAGCGNNNNNNNNNNNNNNNNNNNNUUUUUACAGCUCUUGUCCCAAGAGUAAAGCAGACUGUGCUGAGGUUUAUAGUACAACAUACAACAUAAAACAAGGGGUUUGGGUUGUAUCCCUCCUCCAUCAUCUUUGGUAUGAACCAAACACUCCAGCUUUUUCCUGCUUUUGGUGCACGUGUGCUUGGUGGGGUUUAGUCACUACCUUCUCAUUUGCUGAGGAUGGAGAAAUACUAAGUGAUGCUGAAGUGGCAGCAAGGGAGCUGAAGGGUCAGCUGAAGUAGGAGCAUGUUGAAAUGCAGCUGUAGCUUAAGUAUGGUCCCUGGGGAGAGACCCUGGUGCAGGACACUGAAUGGUACAGCUUGGAAGGAGCAGCUUGGCAGGAGCCUUGCCUUGCGAGUAGAUAGUACUCACUAGUGCAAUGAUUUGCGUGCCAGUUGUUAAAGAAAUAAUGGGCCUUUCUUUGCUUACCAGGUCGGUCCUGAGCUAUGAGGAGGGAAGCAGCACGCAAGAGGGCAAAUACACGAGUCCCACGGUCCCAGCAUACAGCAAGCCUGACUGGAAUGAAGUGACGUAAGGAUCUGGGGUGCUAACCUCAUGUUUGCUAAUGUGUUCUUUCUCAUUGUUGAAAACUUGGAGG
RNAcentral lists this long non-coding RNA (1201 nucleotides) under Anser cygnoides (Swan goose). RNAcentral's name for it is "lncRNA (ENSACDG00005015189.1)". Lineage: Eukaryota; Metazoa; Chordata; Aves; Anseriformes; Anatidae. The record is from RNAcentral.